This 406-nucleotide ribosomal RNA is filed under the name uncultured bacterium. RNAcentral's name for it is "partial 16S ribosomal RNA". It matches the Rfam family "Bacterial small subunit ribosomal RNA", at positions 30 to 526 of the family's 1533-position model. The record is from RNAcentral.
AUUGAACGCUGGCGGCAGGCCUAACACAUGCAAGUCGAACGAGUGGCGGACGGGUGAGUAAUGUCUGGGAAACUGCCUGCUGGAGGGGGAUAACUACUGGAAACGGUAGCUAAUACCGCAUACCAUCGGAUGUGCCCAGGUGGGAUUAGCUGGUAGGUGGGGUAAAGGCUCACCUAGGCGACGAUCCCUAGCUGGUCUUAGAGGAUGACCAGCCACACUGGUACUGUGACAAGGUCCAGAUGCCUACGGUAGGAAUAAGUGGGGAAUAAUGCACAAGGGGCGCAAGCAUGAUGCAGCCAUGCCGCGUGUAUGAAGAAGGCCUUCGGGUUUUAAAGUACUUUCAGCGGGGAGGCGUUACCCGCAGAUGAAGCACCGGCUAACUCCGUGCCAGCAGCCGCGGUAAUUC